GGAUGUGAAGCUGAUUUGGCUGCAACAUCUGUUACCCCAUUGAUUGCCAGGGUAGAUUCAGCUGAUCUGGUUGGCUAGGCAGAUGUCCCCUUCCUCCCUCACCACUCCAUGUGCUUCCCUCAUGAAGCUGCAUGCUUGGUUGAAGAGAACAACCUUCCCUGCCAUAUUCUCCAGUCAAGAGUAUAUAAGUAGCUGCAAUUCCCUGCAAGAAACUCCAAACAAGCUCUCAAGGAAUAUAUCAAAGCCUCAGAUGAGACACAGAAUUUGAGACAACUAAUCA
Molecule: small nuclear RNA, 280 nt
Filed under: Dasypus novemcinctus (nine-banded armadillo)
Lineage: Eukaryota; Metazoa; Chordata; Mammalia; Cingulata; Dasypodidae
Description: 7SK RNA (ENSDNOG00000028814.2)
Rfam family: 7SK RNA
About the family: 7SK was discovered as an abundant small nuclear RNA in the mid-70s but a possible function has only recently been suggested. Two independent studies have found that 7SK RNA binds the CDK9/cyclin T complex (known as elongation factor P-TEFb).
Source: RNAcentral